Molecule: ribosomal RNA, 247 nt
Filed under: uncultured Actinomycetes bacterium
Lineage: Bacteria; Bacillati; Actinomycetota; Actinomycetes
Description: uncultured actinobacterium partial 16S ribosomal RNA
Rfam family: Bacterial small subunit ribosomal RNA
Source: RNAcentral
GACGAACGCUGGCGGCGUGCUUAACACAUGCAAGUCGAGCGGUAAGGCCCUUUCGGGGGUACACGAGCGGCGAACGGGUGAGUAACACGUGGGUAAUCUGCCCUCAGCUCUGGGAUAAGCCCGGGAAACUGGGUCUAAUACCGGAUAUGACUUCGCGAUGCAUGUCGUGGAGUGGAAAGCCUUGUGCGGCUGAGGAUGGGCCCGCGGCCUAUCAGCUUGUUGGUGGGGUGAUGGCCUACCAAGGCGA